RNAcentral lists this ribosomal RNA (395 nucleotides) under uncultured bacterium. RNAcentral's name for it is "partial 16S ribosomal RNA". It matches the Rfam family "Bacterial small subunit ribosomal RNA", at positions 338 to 730 of the family's 1533-position model. The record is from RNAcentral.
CCUACGUGAGGCAGCAGUGAGGAAUAUUGGUCAAUGGACGCGAGCCUGAACCAGCCAAGUAGCGUGAAGGAUGACUGCCCUAUGGGUUGUAAACUUCUUUUGUCGGGGAGUAAAACACGGCACGCGUGCCGUUUUGCGUGUACUUGAUGAAAAAGGAUCGGCUAACUCCGUGCCAGCAGCCGCGGUAAUACGGAGGAUCCGAGCGUUAUCCGGAUUUAUUGGGGUUAAAGGGUGCGUAGGUGGAAUGUUCAGUCAGCUGUGAAAGUUUGAGGCUCAACCUUAUAAGUGCAAUUGAUACUGGUAUUCUUGAGUACAGUAGAGGUAGGCGGAAUUCGUGGUGUAGCGGUGAAAUGCAUAGAUAUCACGAAGAACCCCGAUUGCGAAGGCAGCUUACU